AACGAACGCUGGCGGCAUGCCUAACAUAUGCAAGUCGAACGAGACCUUCGGGUCUAGUGGCGCACGGGUGCGUAACGCGUGGGAACCUGCCCUUAGGUUCGGAAUAACUCCCCGAAAGGGGUGCUAAUACCGGAUAAUGUCUUCGGACCAAAGAUUUAUCGCCUUUGGAUGGGCCCGCGUUGGAUUAGCUAGUUGGUAGGGUAAAAGCCUACCAAGGCGACGAUCCAUAGCUGGUCUGAGAGGAUGAUCAGCCACACUGGGACUGAGACACGGCCCAGACUCCUACGGGAGGCAGCAGUGGGGAAUAUUGGACAAUGGGCGGAAGCCUGAUCCAGCAAUGCCGCGUGAGUGAUGAAGGCCUUAGGGUUGUAAAGCUCUUUUACCCGGGAUGAUAAUGACAGUACCGGGAGAAUAAGCUCCGGCUAACUCCGUG
RNAcentral lists this ribosomal RNA (433 nucleotides) under uncultured bacterium. Its description in RNAcentral is "partial 16S ribosomal RNA". It matches the Rfam family "Bacterial small subunit ribosomal RNA", at positions 29 to 507 of the family's 1533-position model. The record is from RNAcentral.